This 111-nucleotide small nucleolar RNA is filed under the name Eutrema salsugineum. RNAcentral describes it as "Plant small nucleolar RNA R71". It matches the Rfam family "Plant small nucleolar RNA R71". From Rfam's summary of the family: R71 is a member of the C/D box family of snoRNAs containing the C (UGAUGA) and D (CUGA) box motifs. Multiple nearly identical copies of this snoRNA have been identified in Arabidopsis, and it is thought to function as a 2'-O-ribose methylation guide for 18S ribosomal RNA. Lineage: Eukaryota; Viridiplantae; Streptophyta; Magnoliopsida; Brassicales; Brassicaceae. The record is from Rfam by way of RNAcentral.
AAACCGUGAUGAGGACAUUCCCUAAUGUAGCCUUUAUAGCGAUCCCAAGCUUCAUGAAAAUAUUCGCCUCCUUUUUGUUCAAAUCUAUAUAUCUUGUCUCUAAAGAAGUUU